AUGGACGGAGAUCGACGGACGCCGGCGGCCGCGGCCGCGGCCGCAUCGGCGGCAUCGGUCCUUGACGACGACAACCUCCUCCGCGAAAUACUCCUCUGCGUCGCCUUCCCCACCAGCCUCGUCAACGCCGCCCUCGUCUGCAAGCGGUGGCUCCUCCUCGCCUCCGCCCCGGCCUUCCUCCGCCGCUUCCGCGAGCGCAACCCGCCCCGCCUCCUCGGCGUCUGCGUCGGCUACCCGGGCAGGUAUCGCUUUGUGCCCCUCCCGCGGCAGCCCCCGGAGCUCGCCGCGCCCAUACGCCGCGCGACCUCCUCCUGCGACGCCGCCUUCGCCCGCAGAUGCCCGCGAAUCAAGCACUGCCGGAGCGGCCGCCUCAUCAUCGAGGUAUUCCACGCCGGCAGAUUUGAUCACCCCCUCGUGGUGCCGGUUCUCGCCGGGGAGUCUUCAACCGUCCUCCCACUAACCCUGCUGUCCCACGCCCACCGUAACUACUGGGAGAGGCGCACUCAAUUCACUGAGCUGUUCCUACCCGAGGAUGGGGGCCGCGACGGCAUCACCUUGGUGAAUCUGUGGAAGGACCGGCAAAAAGUGUAUGCGGAGGUGUGCAUCCUGAGAUCUGGCCGAUGGUGCGUCCCUGACAUGGAAUCAGAGAUAGAGCCCCCAAAUGGCACAGUCUUCCUUGAAAUGCUACCACCCGUCCAUGGCAAAGUCUUCAUGGUGACCAACUCUGGGUACACCGUGGGUCUAGAUUUGGCCACCAGGAGUCUUUUCACCCUUGAGCUACCAGCUGGAGUGCGGAGGAACUAUAUGCUCUCAUGCGCCGAGGAUGCAGGGAUCUAUCUUGUCAGUGCAGACGGGUUUCAGCUCAGUGUGUGGCUCCAUCGGAUGUCGGGCGAUGAUAAUGAUGCAGGCUGGCUGCUGCUGGACACAUUUUGUGUCCAUGAGGGUCAUGCAUGCACACCUCGUGCAGAGGACAGUUGGGUUCCUCCUCAUGAUGUUUGUCUUGAUGUUGUUGCAGUCGGGGACAAUGCCGACUUUGUCUUCUUGGAUCAUCCAGCAAGUGGCACUCUGUUUUAUGUUCAUCUGAGGAGCAGGGUGGUUGAGAAGGUCUACCGGAGGGGGGCAGAUGAAUGUGGAUAUAAACGUGCGGCUGCUGGCCACGUACGUGUAUCCCCUGUUAUGAUGAUCUGGCCGCCUAUCUUCCCAGCGCAGAACGUGGGACAUGAGGAAUGA
Molecule: ribosomal RNA, 1230 nt
Filed under: Triticum aestivum (bread wheat)
Lineage: Eukaryota; Viridiplantae; Streptophyta; Magnoliopsida; Poales; Poaceae
Description: partial small subunit ribosomal RNA
Source: RNAcentral